Molecule: long non-coding RNA, 768 nt
Filed under: Phaseolus vulgaris (common bean)
Lineage: Eukaryota; Viridiplantae; Streptophyta; Magnoliopsida; Fabales; Fabaceae
Description: long non-coding RNA (PVUL_LNC002943)
Source: RNAcentral
AUCAAUCUAAGACUGGUUCAUAUAGCUUGCUAUACUAGUUCUGAUGCAUUACAUCUUAGAUAAACCCAGUAUUAAUUUCUUUCAAUAUUUCUAUGUUUUAUCUUUUGCAAUAUGUGGGGGAUUGUUGUAAACAAGAAUCUAAUAUAGCAAAAUAAAAACGAAAAACAGAGUGUGUGAAACGAAAACAGAGUAAGUGGUAAAACCCUAGAUUUCUUCAGUGACCGUUGGAGGAGAUCGCGGAGGUUCAGCGAAGACCGGAUUUGCUCCGAGAUUAUCGCGCGACGUUGCCCCUUCCACCCAGAAUCGUAGCCGCACGACUGGGAACGCUCACGCCUUCGCUCUGCUGAUCGUGUGGAAUCUGGAGAACGUUGGAGAUUCGUGGGUGGUUGGCUCCUCCUUUCUCGUGGGUCUUCCUCCAACUCCGGCGACGGUCACGGCUCCGUUAGGGUUUGAAGAUGCGGUAACUUUGGGUUUUUUCAUCUAUAAAUACCACAUUCCAUCCUCUUGCUUCAAACAACCCUCACUCACGGUUCUUCAUCCUCUUGAAACCCUCUACCGUGCUUCUUCUCCUUCUUCUCCAUUCUUCACUUUUUCUUUUUCUUUCUCUCUCUUCAAUAUUUUAUUAUUAUAAUAAUUCUGGGUUUGAUUUGAGUAUUACUCAAAUAAAGAGAAACUUGCUAGUUCUGAUCCUCGGAAAUCUCCGGGAAGUUCCUGUUGUAUCCUGGGGGACUUGCGCAAUACAUCGCGGAUAAGUCCUUACGGACAGUG